RNAcentral lists this ribosomal RNA (403 nucleotides) under Polaruschakov sp. 343 PB. RNAcentral's name for it is "partial 16S ribosomal RNA". It matches the Rfam family "Bacterial large subunit ribosomal RNA", at positions 1959 to 2597 of the family's 2925-position model. Lineage: Eukaryota; Metazoa; Annelida; Polychaeta; Phyllodocida; Polynoidae. The record is from RNAcentral.
GCAUAAUAAUUUGCCUUUUAAAUGGAGGCUAGAAUGAACGGAUCAACGAAAUUCAACCGUUAUUAAUCUUAUAUUCUAUAACCUAAACUUCAGGUGCAGAUGCCUGAAUAUAAAUGAAAGACAAGAAGACCCUAUAGAGUUUUAGCUCAACCUCCCCCACUAACCUUAGUAGCUUUGAUUGGGGCGAUCAAGGAAACCACCUCACAUCCUUAUUUAACAACGAAAUUAUUUCUCCGCGACUACCCUACCCCUUAGAAUCUAAACCAAACUACCUUAGGGAUAACAGGCUUAUCUUCCUAGCGAGUUCAAAUUAAAAGGAAGGUUUGGCACCUCGAUGUUGGCUUAGAGUAACCGGAUAAAGCAAAAAUUAUCCUCGGUUAGUUUGUUCAACUAUUAAACCUCU